UGAUAGAUACAGCCGCUUGCAAACAACAGU
This 30-nucleotide non-coding RNA is filed under the name Mus musculus (house mouse). Lineage: Eukaryota; Metazoa; Chordata; Mammalia; Rodentia; Muridae. The record is from RNAcentral.